GACGAACGCUGGCGGCGUGCUCAACACAUGCAAGUCGAGCGGUAAGGCCCUUUCGGGGGUACACGAGCGGCGAACGGGUGAGUAACACGUGGGUGACCUGCCCUCAGCUCUGGGAUAAGCCUGGGAAACCGGGUCUAAUACUGGAUAUGACUCCAUGACGCAUGUUGUGGGGUGGAAAGCCUUGUGCGGCUGAGGAUGGGCCCGCGGCCUAUCAGCUUGUUGGUGGGGNGAUGGCCUACCAAGGCGACGACGGGUAGCCGGCCUGAGAGGGCGACCGGCCACACUGGGACUGAGACGACGGCCCAGACUCCUACGGGAGGCAGCAGUGGGGAAUCUUGCGCAAUGGGCGAAAGCCUGACGCAGCGACGCCGCGUGAGGGAUGACGGCCUCGG
RNAcentral lists this ribosomal RNA (392 nucleotides) under uncultured bacterium. Its description in RNAcentral is "bacterial SSU rRNA". It matches the Rfam family "Bacterial small subunit ribosomal RNA", at positions 28 to 420 of the family's 1533-position model. The record is from RNAcentral.